AUGGGAAUUCUGGGUCCUUGUCCAACCCCUAAUCCUCCGGUUUACUUGAAAGCUCCUGGCCCCAGCCCCGAGCUUGGACUUGAUGCUCUCGGAAGGGAAAUGCUGCAAGCGAUCACAGCUUACGGCUCUCAGCAAGCGCAAGAAGUCGCCCUGUGCUUCCUUGUGCCGCGCGCGCGAUGCCUCCGGGUGCCGCAUGCAACCGGUGCUGGCGGCGCGUGGGACGCCCCACGCUUGGGGCUGGGACUCAACCAUGGCGGAGAAGGCGGGAUGCUUUUGGGAAGGCAGGAUGCUUUCCGAGUCGUGGCACCACUGCUCUCUGCCUCCUGGCGCUUUGGGACUGGAGGGAAACAUCUCCCUGGGGCUCCCCCAGCCUUGGCAUCCUCCCAGCUCCGCGGUGAGGCAAGGACACAGUGGAGCUCUUGGCUGGUGCCCCAGCUCCACGGCAUCGCCCCAGCCCCAAAACACGUCCCCGGGCAGGUUUCCAGAGCUGCCCCCCAGGCGAGGUCUGGCGAGAGGGUUUCCAAGGGGCCACAGCCGGCCGGGACAUUGUCCCCCCUCCUCCUGCCGCCCGUUUCCCCCCGCUGGCCGGUGCCAGGCUGCUUUUGGCAGGAGGGCUGCAGCACCUGGUGCCUGGGUGUCCCCGGCCAUGCCCGGCUGUGCCGCGUCCCCCGCGCGGCUGGAGAAGUUGGUGCCAAACCUUCGGGGCCGGGAAGGUGGCCGCCGCCGGGGGAAAGUGCGAGGGGGCAGCUGACCUCAAAAUUUCCACCAUUGCCUUGCUUUUUAAAGGGGAAAAACGAGGCGGGAAGCGGAGCUGCGCAGCUGCCGCCCCGAGCCAGCGGCUCUCGGACCGAGCCCCGACGGGUGGUGUUGAGGCGCCGGUGUUCGGCUGCGGCCCCGUCCCACUGCUGCCGGCUGCCCCGCGGGCCGCGUCCCCACUGGCACUGCCUGGCCACGGCCUGGCCUGUUCCCUGCUGGAAAACCGGAGCGGAGACCCCUGCCGCCUCCCUGAGCAUCCCGGGCACUGCGCUCCCAGCCCCGGCCGCGACGCCCGCGGGUGCUGCUGCCGCCCCGAGAGGGGUCCCGGCUCCCUGCCUCGGCGGCGAAGCCAGAGGCCUUGCAGGAAGUGCCGCGGCAUUGCCGAGGAUGGAAAAAUCCCGGGGAUCUGCCCUUUCUCCGAGAAGACAUCUGAGCUGGGUGGUGUUUUUCUUUCCAUCCAGUCAGCACGGCCACUUGGAAAUUUCCUACGCCGGCUCCCGGCUGUAA
Molecule: long non-coding RNA, 1263 nt
Filed under: Apteryx haastii (Great spotted kiwi)
Lineage: Eukaryota; Metazoa; Chordata; Aves; Apterygiformes; Apterygidae
Description: lncRNA (ENSAHAG00000015555.1)
Source: RNAcentral